UGGGGAAUUUUGGACAAUGGGCGCAAGCCUGAUCCAGCCAUGCCGCGUGCGGGAAGAAGGCCUUCGGGUUGUAAACCGCUUUUGUCAGGGAAGAAAUCUUCUGAGUUAAUACCUCGGGAGGAUGACGGUACCUGAAGAAUAAGCACCGGCUAACUACGUGCCAGCAGCCGCGGUAAUACGUAGGGUGCAAGCGUUAAUCGGAAUUACUGGGCGUAAAGCGUGCGCAGGCGGUUUUGUAAGACAGAGGUGAAAUCCCCGGGCUCAACCUGGGAACUGCCUUUGUGACUGCAAGGCUUGAGUGCGGCAGAGGGGGGAAUGGAAUUCCGCGUGUAGCAGUGAAAUGCGUAGAUAUGCGGAGGAACGCCGAUGGCGAAGGCAAUCCCCUGGGGCCUGCACUGACGCUCAUGCACGAAAGCGUGGGGAGCAAACAGGAUUAGAUAGCCCUGGUAGUCCACGCCCUAAAACGAUGUCAACUGGUUGUUGGGAAGGUUCCUUCUCAGUAACGUAGCUAACGCGUGAAGUUG
RNAcentral lists this ribosomal RNA (524 nucleotides) under uncultured bacterium. RNAcentral's name for it is "partial 16S ribosomal RNA". It matches the Rfam family "Bacterial small subunit ribosomal RNA", at positions 355 to 867 of the family's 1533-position model. The record is from RNAcentral.